CCAAAUUCUGGUUUAGGUGGACUUUUCAAGAUUUUUUUCUGAUUUACUGUGGACAUUCUGUUUUGGUGGACCCAAAAAGUCCACGUAAAAAUAAACGCACAGAACACCUUUUAGCUGGACGUAAACGUAUCCGAAAGAACAAGUCUGUUUCGGUGGACUCAAAAAUUGUCCACCUUAGGCGCCAUCUAUCUCUAAACUAAAAAAUUUGAUGGUUCGUAGUUCCAAUAUCUGCCACAGACGGCGCUACCAUCGGCUGGCUCUGUGUUGAAGCUCGGCUGCGCACGCCUUGAUCAGCGCGGGCUAGCGCGGGCAUGCAGCAAAAACAAACCCGUGAAUUAGAGUAUGAUGAAGUUUUGUGUAGUUGCAACAACACUGUUUUUUGUUGCGGUGUUAUCGGCGCGGCACGGCUCACCACGUGGCGGUGUCGGUGUUGGGAUUUGGAAGAGAUAAAGCUUUGGGUGGUACUAUUUUGUGUUUUUUUUUGUGCUGGGAGCCUUUUGAAGUCUGUGAGGAGCGUCAAAUGCAGUCGGCGCUACGGCUGGCCGUGUCAGCGACCCACCGGCUCGGCCACGGCCAACAGGCAGCCGGCUCCGACGUCAAGUAGGCGCUACGGUUCCUGACGCCAGCAGGAGCACUUGACCAGCAGCUCACCGCCACCGCACAGGACCUGGCACAGCUCGGCACAGGCAUGCACAUUGACCCAGCAGUGGUGCAAGAAUGCGAAUGGCACGUCAGUCACCAGAUCUGCAGUGAUGUCGCCCGGCUCUGACGAUGGCGCACAGCCGCCGUGUCCGCGGUCUCCGUCGCCGCCGCGGUAUGCGGCGCUGGGCGGCGACUCGUACAUGUCGCGGUCUCGCCAUUGGGGGCCGAACGAUUCGCGGCUCCCGCCGACCCCGCCGGCGAGCGUGGCGUGCAACUCCUGGUGAACGGCACGCAGGUCACCGGUGGCACCAGCCUACAUCUUCUGGGGGUGACCUUCGACAGACUUCUACAUUUUAAAGACCACUGCGACUCUCUGCGGCGGAAGGUCCGGCCGCGGACGGCACAGCUGCGGAGGAUGACCGGCCGGACCUGGGGUCUCCGCGAGGCGCAGCUCAGGACAGUCGCGAACGGGUAUGUCCGGGGAGCCCUUGAAUACGCGGCGGGUGCCUGGCUCCCGGCCGCGUCCCCGUCACACGUUCAGCUGGUGGAGCGCGAGCUGCUGGCGGCCGCCCGGGUGGUGACCGGAUGCCCACGGUCCACCCCCAGGGAUCCCCUGCUGGCCGAGGCAGGCAUCCCUUCAGCAUGGUCCACCAGGAAGACGCUGGCCGCGCGAACGCUCUGCCGAGCGCUCGCCCUGCCGGAGGACGACCCUCUUCGCCGCGUCGCGGACGCCGACCCACCCACUCGACUGCGGUCUACCACCGGCUGGCGACAACUGGGGCGAUCGGCGCUGAUGGAGUGACGGUGGAGCCGCGCCUCGAGGUUCCCCUCCUCCCGUGGACAACCUGCCGCCCGAUCGCCUUCAAUCUGGACGUGGGACCCGGCGGUCGUCGAGCCUCCUCCAACGAGACGCGACGAGAGGCCGCGCGGCAGCACCUGGCGGCGCUCCCAGCCCAGGCCACGUGGAUUUGGUCCGACGGCUCUGCGGACGCUGGGGUCAGGCGAGGAGGGGGCGGCGCCGUAAUCUUUACCGCGUCGGGGGAGACUCUCGAGGUGGAGGUGGCGGCGGGAGGCCUCUGCUCCAGCACCCGUGCGGAGCUGUUCGCCCUGAGGGCGGCGCUGGAGCGGGUCCGGGAUGAGCCGUCCCCCGCCCCGCUGGUGGCGUGCUCUGACUCACGAGCCGCCCUGAGCCUCCUCAGCGCGGGAGCGGCCGCCCAGACCACCACUAUCGGCGCGGAGAUCUGGAGGACGCUGCUGGACAUUGCCGAGCGCCGGCAGGUGACCCUGCAGUGGGUCCCUGCUCACUGCGGGCUGGCGGAGAACGAGCGCGCUGACGCCCUGGCCAAACAAGCGGCCACCCUGCCCCAGGGCGCCGUGCCCUCGGACGCUCGGUCCCUGACACGGGCAGUUCAUCGGACGGCCACACGUCAGUGGCGCGAAAACUGGCCCGACUCCUUUUUUAAGACUAUCUUCGGGAGCACCCUGCCGCUCCCCAUCCCCGGAGAGGACCGAGAGGCCGCCAUCUCGGUGCACCAGUUGAGGGCGGGCCACUGGGGCCGCUCGCUCCAAUACCUGCACCGGAUCGGCCGCCACCCCUCCGUGGCAUGCCUGCAGUGCCCCGAUAAGCGGUGCCCCGCGGCGCUCUGCGCCGUGUGCCGGGAGGAGGCGGACGUGCCGGAGCACGUCUUGCUCCGCUGCCCGGCCCUCGCUGGCGCCCGCCUGCGGCUAACUGGCAGCAUUUACGUCGACCCGUCGCGGCUGCGGGACGCCGACCUGGUGGCUGCCUUGGAGGCCGGCUACCUUCGCCAUAGGGAGCCUCUCGGCUAUGGUCCUCCGUAAGGAGGUCCCAGGGGGAACAACAACAACAACAACAACCCCGCCGGCGACGAGUUUCCUCCGGCGAGUCCUGCGCCGUCUGGCGUGGUCGACGCUGCCCGGGAGGUUCCUGGCUGGCAAGCUGCUGCUGUGUCUACCGACGCACAGAGUUUUGUCGUGGCUGUGCUGUCCGCGGCCGUGCUCCACGGUUGCGACGUCUGCGGCCAAGCUGCCCGCUGCUGAGCUCCGCGGCCGAGCUGCCAGCGGCCGAGCUCUGCGGCCGUGCUCUGCGGUCGUGCUCUGCGGCCGUGCUUCCCGUGGCUGGGCCCUCCGUGGUCCCGUGAUCGUGGCCGCGGCGAGGGUGCCGCGACCUGCGCGGUGCCGUGCGCUGCAGUGAUGGCGCCGCGCACUGUGCAGUGAUUGUGCCGAGCGCUGCGUACGCGGUGGGUGCCGCGCGCCGCGCUGUUGAGCGUGCCGUAUUCGGACGGUGGCUGCCGCGCGCAGCGUGGUGAUUGCUGCGCUCUGCCAUGAGUGCCGCUCACUGCCGUGGCCUGAGUGCCGCGCUCGGACGGAGUGCCACGCGCCGUUGUGUUGCGUCGCCUUCUGCCUUUUGAUAUGUGCUAUCUCCGAAUUUAAUGUUGCUUGUUGCCGAUGUUCGCUUCUUUUCGUUAAGAGGGUCGGGUAUAGUCGGUCGAUUUAUUCGCACCGUUUGAUUUCGUACCGGCUUCUCGUCUGUUUCUUAUUGUUUUCUGCGAUGUCACUUGUCCGAUUUUAUAUCUGAUUAAUUCACGUAUUUAAGUAUUUAUUUUAUAUUGUCAUAAUAACUUACGGCGCUGUUCCUUUAUUUUCUGUUUAGUUGCAGCCCUAGUACCUUAAUUUCCGAUGUCUCUUCGGUUUGUUGUCGCUCGCAUGUUCAGAGAGUCCUGGUUGGCCGGCGCGAGCGGCGGUUGUGGAAUACAAGCUCGUCUGUGAA
RNAcentral lists this unclassified non-coding RNA (3430 nucleotides) under Amphibalanus amphitrite. RNAcentral describes it as "uncharacterized LOC122394229, transcript variant X2". Lineage: Eukaryota; Metazoa; Arthropoda; Thecostraca; Balanomorpha; Balanidae. The record is from RNAcentral.